ACUCCUACGGGAGGCAGCAGUGGGGAAUUUUGGACAAUGGGGGGCAACCCUGAUCCAGCAAUGCCGCGUGCAGGAAGAAGGCCUUCGGGUUGUAAACUGCUUUUGUCAGGGAAGAAAUCCUCUGGGUUAAUACCUCGGGGGGAGUGACGGUACCUGAAGAAUAAGCACCGGCUAACUACGUGCCAGCAGCCGCGGUAAU
RNAcentral lists this ribosomal RNA (199 nucleotides) under uncultured bacterium. RNAcentral's name for it is "partial 16S ribosomal RNA". It matches the Rfam family "Bacterial small subunit ribosomal RNA", at positions 335 to 524 of the family's 1533-position model. The record is from RNAcentral.